Ooceraea biroi (clonal raider ant) is the source of this 8747-nucleotide long non-coding RNA. RefSeq lists it as uncharacterized. The record is from RefSeq and is a predicted model, not a curated record. NCBI's taxonomy places the organism in Eukaryota, Metazoa, Arthropoda, Insecta, Hymenoptera, Formicidae.
UUUAAUUUAAUUAAAAAUACAAAGGAGAAAAAAACGUAGGUAAAAUGAAAAUUUCUUCGAUGAAAAACUAAAUGUUCGAUCGUUCACUUUAUUUAUUUUAUUUACGUUUAAAAAUGCCUUACAAUAGUUAUUUUUCUCGGAAUUUUGUAAAUUUUAUGAUUGAUAUGACGCAGAAGGUUAAAAUUAUUCGCACAAUCUUCCCCGACGGCGACCUGACGCGCUUCAUUCACGACCGAGCGGCGUACGCGUCGCCAUCUUGCGAGUUGCGCGCGAGCUGCCACGCGCACAGCAGUAUGGCCGCCGUCGCGAUACCUUUAAUUAGUGACAAGUGAAUCGUUCCGCGUUUUCUCGCGUUCAGUGGCGAGCGAGGGGAGCGCAUCCGACCGCUGCACGCGCGGCAGACCCUGGCGGACCUCGAUGAAUCGGUAAGCAUUUAUAAAAAAAGAAGCUCAUCACCUGAAGAAGCUAAAAACCGCUGUGUCUAAUACGUUAAGGUAACCGACACAAUUUGCAUGAUGAACAUGCUUCUCGCGUGAGAAGCGUUCAUAAGUGACCUCUUGAGAACGCCUAUAAAAAAAUUGCGCUUGCAAAAUAGUGCUAAAGCGUUGCACUCUAUUUUCUAAAGAAUCCGACACAUGUGCCAUUGCCAUUAUGCACAACUAUUUCUUGGAGUCGUCAAGUCCACACGUGUUCGUGCACGGCCGUGUCCCUCAGAGAGACGAAAGAGAGAAGCUCGCGAUCUAUCGAUGCCGUUCGCGAUUGCGCAUCGCGAAACGCAAAUAUUCGCAAGAGUGAUGAAUCCGCGCGGCUGUCCCAUUAAUUUUAUUCGAACCUUCAAUUAUGCGGAUGCGUUCUCCUCAUUCUGCUGUCACAUCGCGGCCGGGUAGGACGUGAGGCAAUUCGCAGCCGGCCAGAUAUCCCCUGUCAGACAUCGGCCGUAGCGAAAGUUUAAUUUGCGCCGUCCGAAUUUUAAUGGAUCCCGACAUAUUGUGUCCCGCGCAGGUAAUUCCUGUCGGAUUUAAAGGAACCGCUCGGGCCGGGCGAGCCGGUGCGCACAACGAGACUACUCCCGGUUGCAUCGGCAAUCAAAAUCCCGGGACCCGGGCUCGUUGUGAAGCGAGAUAAAGUCAAUCUCCGUGGCAUUUUCGUGCACGCCGUUGCACGCUGCAGCCGCUCCUUGGUCCACCUUGUUUUCUGCUCCGUGCUUCGCCUUCCCGUCUUCCUCGCCUGAACCGACACGUCGGUCCUGAUAUCGCAAUAAUGCGCCGCGGCCGAUUUCUCUCUCUCUUUCUCUUUCUCUUUCGCACGUGAGCGCGAUCGCCACUCCGUUCCCUCGUUAUCUCGGCAAACCAGAAAUUUCCGGGACCGGAACCGUCGAAGCUCGCGCAUGGAGCAGCUCCGAGCGUUAAAAGUCGACUCUCUUCCUGCCUCUUGCCUUCUCCUCGAAAGCGUCGUCCGUGCGUCCCGAUAACCGCGCGCGCGGUGUAGGUAUCGUCGGAGCGAUAUAUUCGAUACGUCGUAAAUUCAGCCGGGUAACGAGGCGACCGUCGAAAGUGACUCGAAAUAAACGACAGGAGGUAGGUACCCAGCUUCUACCUCCCUACCAUCCCGCGCCACCCCUCGCUCCUUCUCAUUUUCUCCUUCUCAGCAUCUCCGCUGGACCGUGCUCGCGGACGUAGCGGACGAUCGUAAAUCAAAAAGCGCGACUCUCCCGAAAACUCUUUUCUCGCGAGGCGAAACGAGAGAGGAGCAGAAGGAGCGGAGAUGCUGCCGACGCCGGAGCGGAGCACGGAUGCUGCAAGAGACGAUGGAGAAGUGCGGAGAGUAGCGGCGAAGAAAGAAGGGGGCCGUACGCGGGAGUAGCGCGCGCGAAAGAGGAUCGGAGACGGAAGCGACGUUCCCGCGGGAUAAAUCAUGGACGGCGUAAAUUAAAGCAGUCCUGCCUGCCUUACCCUCGCGCUGCCUCACCAUCACCACCACCGCCACUACCACCACCACCACCACCACCAUCGUCUGGCAGUGUCUUCUCUCUUUUUCCCCGCCUCGAGUGACUUAUCGAGCGAGAUGCCGGGCCUCCGCGCGUUCUCGGAAGCGAGUUCUCGCGCGGCCGCGAUAAAUAAAAUGCGCUCCGGACAAAUUGUAUCGGCGUUACAAGCCACAGCCGAGUGAGAGGGAUUAAAGCGAGAAGUACGAGCCGCGCUUAAUUCAAUUAGCAGUCGGCAGUAGGCGAGACAAUAGUCUCCCAAACGGAACGGGAAGGUGAAAAGACAUUCGCGCGUGCCUGUUGAAGUUGAAGAAUGCCUUUUAUACAUACCACACUGAAGCCAUUGAAGCGUGCUUGUAACGAGAACGCGUGGAAAAUUGAUCAUUAUUAUUCUAAAUUGUUUUUCAUUACUCUCUAUCUGAAUACCAAAGCUUUCGAAAAGGCGCACUUUAGCGUCAACGAGUUUGACAUACUUCAUUAUAUUUUAGCAGACCUUGUCGUUCUGUUUACGUGCGCUCGCUGAGGAUGAGGACUUCGCUCGUGCGCGACGAUUGGAGUACGCUGCACGUUGUCGCGCUAUCCUCAGAAUUUGAAUGCCGCCUACGAGACGGAGGAUCAGCUCUCCUCGGCAUUUCUUUGUUACACGCGUUCAAUGCAUCUUGCAACGAACGUCGGACGCAUCAUCGCGCGACGGUAAUUUCGCAUAAAUCGGGGAAACCUGCUCUCGCGGAGUUUCGCGGCGCGCGCGUACGAGCGGAAUGGGAGCGCGAUCUUCCCACGCGAGCGUCGAUGCGUGCUUCACGUUGUGGCGUAGACAAACGACACGACGAUCCUCAUGGCCGUCCCUAUCUUGCUCCUUCUUCGAUCGCUCCCAAGAGCAGUGUCUUUCUUGAUGCCUAAAGGCUGUUUCGUACGUUCCGAGAGCAAGAGAAAUUUUCCUCACUCAUUCUUUCACUUCUUCCUCCAUCUUUCCAGUACACUCCUUUCCUGAAUGCAGGAGCGUUACGUCAUUCCAGAUGCAGUUACAACGAAUGGGAGUUAAUCAAUAUCGCGACUUUUAGAAAGAUCUGUCAACUCUGAAAAUGCCACGGCAGGCGCGCCGAUACAAAGAGAUCGCGAGAACAAAGAUCAAAGCGAAUCGCGCAUCUGCAUUCCGACGGGAUAAGGUCGAGCCUAGCUCAGCUACGCUUCGAGAUCGGCUUGCACACGCAGGUGUUUCUAAUUGGUUAUUUAUAAGCGAUUCUUAACCCGGCGCUGAUUUACUGCGUUUAGCAGCACGCGCAGAUAGGAUUUUACACGAGCCAAUUACAAUCGGCCGAUGGCACGAUUAUCUUAGUCAUCGGUCACCUGGCUAGUCUGCCAAUGGAGAUCGGUACGAGGAUCGGAUACGAGUGUUUGUGCUGGAUCGAAGGUUUUUCACGCUAAACGGACGUAGAAACGUGUCGUCCUCGAUGAUGAGGUCGCGGUACGUUUUCAAAAACGUUUGAGAUAAUCUUCCCACUUGUCUUGGCGAAUUACAUUUCUUGACUUUUUCACUGUCUUUCAAUCUUCCCAGUAGCUGUAUCUAAACAUAAUCAAUGAAGAAGUUUAGGAAAUCUAAAUUGAUGUGAUACUAUCGAAUUGAAUGCAACAUUAGGCACUAAUCAAGAUAAUUGUAACGUUGGGCCAUCUGCAAUUUUGUAGUGACGCAAGCUGAUCAUCGUACGCGACAAUAAGUGAAAAUUAGCGAUCUCGGAUGUUCGAAUUCGGACGACAUCCUGGUUGCUAAAUCGACAGCGAUCGAGAAGCCUCUCUUUUAGGAGAGACCUUAGAAAGUCGACAUCCUGACCGAGAAUCGUCGUCCGGUGUGCUUUAUGGCUAGCUUCGACGUUUCCGACGUCGACGAUCGUUGUCGUCGCGGUAGCGCAAGAAGUCGAGUGAUUUAAUGGAAAUGCGUUCCCACGCAUACGCGCAUCCUCUCGUGCCUCGCGUCCCAUCGCUCUUUUUUCACGCUCGUUCCUCGGAUUCGCGCGUGUGACGUUCGUCUAUUCAAUAUACCGUACACGUCGCAUUAUGUGCAACCUGAAAACGCACAUUCGCCGUUAUACCAGAAAUAUACUUGGAAAAGUCACGUUCAUUUAAGAUCAAGUGCAAUCGGAUCCAUCGCGUAUAACAAUAUGGAAUUUCAACAUUAAUUAAUUCAACAUAUUGCCACCAGAAAUGAGAAGUAAUGCUAAUUCUUUAGUAGUAAUCGGGAGAAAUGGAUAUUGCAGAUAAAAAUGUGUAUCGGAAAAUAUCGAUACUAAUGAGAGAGACACUAUUAAUUUUCUCGUCAAGAGAUCGCGCUAUUCUACUUACCCGGAUUACGACGACUCUUUACCUCGCGUACUCUUUCCCCGCGUAUUUACCAAUUGAUUGAAUAACGCAUUCGCAGGCUGUCACAAAGAGAUCUCUUGGUAAUUUUCUGUCGACUCGUAUGUAUGCUCGCGAGGAGAGUGAUAUUUUCACUCAUCAAUAAUCGAUCGAUUACUCUAACGGGAAACGGCGGAUAUUCGACGAAUGGGAAGAAAUGAAUGAAAUGCGGGACACGCUCCGUCGCGUUUCAGCGUUACAAUGUACCAGCGAUAAAUAAUCCUUUUAACGGUUAAACUCUUUAUCAUAAUCUCAAUCCACGCGUCAUUUCCUCAAUCUGACCUAGCUUCGAUUAGCGCACACGUCGCUCGCAACGUAUCGCGUGCCUACUAAGUAAUGAUGCUCUAGAGGGAGGUUUAAUCUCGGCGAUAAAGUCGUUGAUGCAAUUAGGACGAUUAGCCUUAUCGGCGCUAUGUCCGGCAGGCGACCACUACCGACAUCAUUGAACCGGUAUCGAUAUCGAUCUCACGAGUGGAGAACGCUAAACGUGGAUCGCGCGUGCGUUAGCGAGUAAAUUAUCGACGAUGCAGCUCGUCGUUCAAACACUCAGAGUUUCUAAUUCCGACCGGCGAAACGGUCUCUAAUUGUGCGUAAAAUUGUGCGUUUGCCUCGAAACGGAGACAGGAAGCAAUAAAUUGCCUAAAUCUGUUUGCUCGUUCCUAUGCCGAGCCCUCACCGUUCUUUCAGCGCAAUUAAGUUAAACGUCAGAUUGCAAUAUAUUAGAUGCUAUUUUUACAUCAAUAAAAAAGUAAUAAGAGAAAUAAGAAAAAAACAUUAAUAAAAAAGAAAUAAGAGAAAGGAUCACUAAAAAAGUCUAAUUUAAAAUAUAUUUGCGAAGAAAGCAUGUUUGUCUCAGAUAUCUAUUAUGAUAUUUCAAAUGAUUGUUAAAGAACUAAAUGCUAAGAAUUAUGAAUCAUUCUUUUAAAACAUGGCGCGCAAAAAUUUCCGCGGAGAAAGCUCAGGCAACCACGAUAAUUGUUGACGUUAACGAGGAAGAAACAUUUUCACGGCAAUUCGGCGGCGUAUCGAAGUUGCCUUUACAACGCGAUCGUGUUGUACCUCAUAAAAAGACAAUUCUGCGCUUGAGAGAAGUAACGGGACCGUGGCGAAGGAUCUGUCGACGUCUCGGCAAAAAGAACGGGGGAUUCCUCGAAGAUUAAAGCAUCGUCGUGCACCACGAGCAACCGCAAUGCUCGCGACGAUUCUUGCCGGGACCCACCUUGAAGCCGGCGAUCUCUCGGACAGUAAUCGAGCCAGUUACCGCCGAGUAAAUGACGUACGGCAACGUUAAGGAUAAAGUACGAGCGAUUCUCGAGCACACCUAUCACCACCUAUCACCACCUGUGCUGACCUACGACUCUCCCCGUAAUGAAACGCGUCCGUGUUGAAAUGUCGUUCGCCAUGGCAUAAAUUACCCAUUAAAUGCGUGCGAUGUGAAUUCGCUCGGGAAGCGCAGUCAAUUAAAAUCGGUAUGCCAAUUUGCGCGGCUUCGUGUACCUAGUUGAAUCUAAUUACGGAUAUUGAAGAGCAGAUAGUGAAGAAAAAUAUGCAAUCAUUAAGCAUUAGAUGAUACUCAAGACUACAGUGCAUUUGUACCAGUUUCAGAAACAAGCAAUGAGAUUUAGUGAACUAUGUCGAGAUCUCUAUCGACCGAUAUCUUUAAUUUGCAAUAUUGAACCUCCAACGUGUGUUCUGGUAAAGGCUUCGAACGAGCUCGCGUAGUUUGGGAAAGAGGAUCAGAAUCGGACUCGCGGUGACGAGAUCAUUAAAGGACGCGGGGUGGCGCGCCGUCAAAAGGACUAAUGAAUCGCGCCUUGUGCUCUCCGGCCGAAUUCGAAAGUCCUCGGACAGAAUAAAGCGCCUCCUUGUCGUCCCCUUCGAACCGCCACGCCGGGAUCGGUCCAAGGCUUACUUUCCAGAGCCGGCGAGCACGGCACGGACACAAGAGAGCCGCUGAUCAAUAGCUAGUGGUCGGCGGGGAGCCGUCGUGUCGCCGGCGCGGUGGCGAUGUCGUCAAUUUUUUUAUUACGAGUCCGGACACGAACGCAGGCGCGCACGCACACGUACGUACGGAUGGACGAGACACGCCGCAUGCUUGAAGGAACUGCACGGAGGAGAGUUCCUUCACAUCGGAUUUCACAGAUUGCGAUUCUCGCUGAUCCCGCGGACUCGAUCGUCCCUCGUGCUGUAUUACAUCGACUGACGCUUUAUAUCCGUCAAAAAGAUUUAUAAUUGAAAGAUAGUCAUAAGCAUCAAAAAACGCGAAAAUUUGAGAUAAAAUAAAUGCACCGUCUAGUAGAUAAGAAUUAUCAAGUUACCCCUGUUGCAGAGGCUUUUUAAUUCUAAAUAACGUAAAUCGUAGAGAAAUAUGAUCUUAAAUAAUUAAAAAACUUUUUAUUUAUUGAGUAAUAAAAUAACUCGAAUGGGAAAAAUAUGAGAGAUUUAAUGCAGCGCAUAACUUACAAUAGUUACACGCGUUCUUUUAUUUUGCAUCCCGAUGAACGAAACACGAGCUUGCUGUUCACGUUUCAAUCCAGCUGUUGUAAUAUCGCGUUCGGAAGCUAUCGGAGCGGGGUUGCUUCACGUGUACUUCGUCAUAGGAAUCUACCUCCUUCGGAUGCGCCUCCUAACGAGCGUGUGUACACGUCCUGCCGAGUGCCUCGGUCCCCGUUCUUCCUCGCCUCCUUCAGGAACAAUAGCCGCUCCAGCAGGGGAGUUAAUCUACAUACGCAAAUUCCAUCGAUAGAUCUUAGGCGGCGAGAGAGAAGGCGGCUGCGUAUCGCCGGGCGUACACGCGUACGUCUUCAACAAUGGGAAUCGCUUCGCGGCCCUGGUCGGCAUCCCGCCUGAAGGAAGGACAAUAAGCACGGCUUGAUAGUUAUUGUGCCUAGUCCAGCUCUCUCCCGAGAAGACCUGGCAAGAGAAGUCGGUGCCCUGUAGGGGAUAAUGAAUAUUCCGAGCCCGUAUCAAUUUCGGGACCGCUUGAGUUAAAGACGCUAGAGGUACUCUUGCGCCAAACGUGAAUUUCAGAGUCUUCAGGCUUCCUCAGCAACCUCGAUAUGUUACUCUCGAGUCAUGGUUCACUCGAACACACCGGAAUCAUCGUAUUUUCCCGGCACUCGAAUACGUUACCAACCAUCAACGAGGAGAGGGAGGGAAAAGCAUUUCCUUCGGUCUCGGUCAUGACACGCGGUGACCGUAGGUCGAGGAUAGCGCAACGACCUUAGAGGUCGAUGCACUUCUCUCGUGCACUCGUCGGCACGGCGUAGCGCGGCGUCAAAACAAGACCGGCCAAUGCGACGUGCCGGGUUCACCUCCGUAUAACCGGGGAACAGUUCCCACCGUCUAGUCAUCCGGGUGCUCCUUGUGCAGGGGGAAAAGCAGGCCCCUACCGUCGUUUCCCUCGUCUUCCUCCGCCUCCUUCACCUCCGUGUGUCCGCGUCGCACGUCCUUUCUCCUCGCGCGAGCACUCGCGCGAUUCCUGGAAGCUCGCGGAGGCGCAGCGCUGUCUGGCCAAGCCGGGGACCCGCUCGUCUGUACCUACCGAAGCACAAAUACCCACGAGGAUGCCGCGCGAGUACGGAAAGGGUGAGAAACAGAGAGGAGGAGGCGGCGGAUGGAGGAGAUGAUGACGAUCAAGCGAGAUGGAGAAACAGAGGAAGAGAGAGACGGCGAGGAACGAGUAAAACCAGGCAGCUCGCUCACCCGGCUACCUUGCCACGUAGAGGAGAGAUACCUACGGUAUAAAAGAGCGGUGAGCAGAGAGGAGCCGCUUCUAAGUAGCUACGUGAUCAGCGAUAAUAACGCGACUUGGAAACGUGGAAGAUCGCGUACUUCCUACCCGCUAACCAUUCCCUCCCUGCCACCCUUCCCUUUUUUUCGCAUCGGGAACGUGUACGGGGUUGGAUCGGUCGAUCGAUCGUUUGGCCCUUAUACUACCGUGUCGAUGCAGUGCCACGAUGGCUAGUAAGAGGCGUUGCCGCAAGGUUUAGGUCUCAUCAUAGAUACCUUCGAGAGUGUGCAUUUCCAGUUCCCGGAAACGAGGAGGUAACGGCCAUCGCGUUGCUUCGCGUCCACCUGUGCUUCUGCUUCUUUUUCUUCAUCGUUGUCGUCGAGGUCGAUUUGUGCUCUCGCAGAAUGAUAACUUUGCAAUCAAGCUCCUGAACGUGACGCAUUUUUAUGCCAGAUUACAAUGUUAGACGCGAAGAUGGUAAGAGAGAAAAAGAGAUGUAAGGAACAUGAGCAGAUAACAGAUGUAAUGUCUGACAAAAAGGGACAUCCACAUGUCCUUAAAGUAAUAUAAAAUUUCCUACAUUCCUUAUACAGAAUUAUUGAGAAAUUGUUAAAAUAAGAUACUGAUUCGACCAAAAAA